Molecule: long non-coding RNA, 730 nt
Filed under: Cyanistes caeruleus (blue tit)
Lineage: Eukaryota; Metazoa; Chordata; Aves; Passeriformes; Paridae
Description: lncRNA (ENSCCEG00000009871.1)
Source: RNAcentral
UUCCAGAACUUGACAAUGCAUUGCCCUGGGAGCUGCAUCUUCCUCUUAGCUGCCUGCCUUAUUGCUGCAUCCCUUGGUGACCCCCAACGCAGCAGCCACCAGUGCUUCCAAGGCGUGCCGUGGAGUGAGCUUUUGCAGGAGAUUGAGCAACUGAACAAAAGAGGCUUUUCCUUGGAGUGCGAGGAAGUGAGCAGUGAAGAUUUGUGUUUCCCUGAGCAGAUGCUGAAAGCAGUUAAAUAUGAUAAUGCAGCCAUUGUUAAUAUAGUGCAUGAAAUUGCCGAGUUUUUCAAGAGAGCAGACACUCCUUUUCAAAAUAAGAGCACUUUUCUAAGAGGAAUGUAUGAGGCCCACGCUCAGCUCAAGACAUGUCUGAAGCCCAGACGUAACAUCAGCCAUGAGUCUAUAGUGAAAGACUGCUUCAAAAAAAUGGAUGAAUUUGUGGCCAGGUCAAGUGACCACUGCAUUUGGCAAGAGAUCCAUGCACAUUCCAGAGAGAUACUCCAAAGAAUUGAAAACUACUCUUUCAAGAGAAGAUCAACACAUUAGCAAAGUCAGUUUCCAUCACAUUCUUCAGGGAUCUACUAUCGUGUCAAGAUGUAAAAAUUAAAGGAAGAAGCAAACGUAGUUUUGCAUUUAGGACUACAAACAGAUUAACUUAUUUUUGUCAAGAUAUUUUUCUAAACUACUAGAAAACUUAAGCCUUAAUAAAAAGGAUGCAAAAACCCCUACA